GGGAAUAUUGCACAAUGGGCGAAAGCCUGAUGCAGCAACGCCGCGUGAGUGAUGAAGGCCUUCGGGUUGUAAAGCUCUGUCUUCUGGGACGAUAAUGACGGUACCAGAGGAGGAAGCCACGGCUAACUACGUGCCAGCAGCCGCGGUAAUACGUAGGUGGCAAGCGUUGUCCGGAUUUACUGGGCGUAAAGGAUGCGUAGGCGGAUACUUAAGUCAGAUGUGAAAAUCCCGGGCUUAACUUGGGAACUGCAUUUGAAACUGGGUAUCUAGAGUGCGGGGGAGGAAAGUGGAAUUCCUAGUGUAGCGGUGAAAUGCGUAGAGAUUAGGAAGAACACCAGUGGCGAAGGCGACUUUCUGGACCGUAACUGACGCUGAGGCAUGAAAGCGUGGGGAGCAAACA
This 400-nucleotide ribosomal RNA is filed under the name uncultured bacterium. RNAcentral describes it as "bacterial SSU rRNA". It matches the Rfam family "Bacterial small subunit ribosomal RNA", at positions 357 to 774 of the family's 1533-position model. The record is from RNAcentral.